UCUCUCUCUCUCUCUCUCUCUCUCUCUCUCUCUCUCUCACGCACACACACACAGAGAGAGAGAGAGAGAGAGAGAGAGAGAGAGAGAGAGA
This 91-nucleotide microRNA precursor is filed under the name Marmota monax (woodchuck). Lineage: Eukaryota; Metazoa; Chordata; Mammalia; Rodentia; Sciuridae. The record is from RNAcentral.